This is a long non-coding RNA of Drosophila rhopaloa, 312 nucleotides long. RefSeq lists it as uncharacterized. The record is from RefSeq and is a predicted model, not a curated record. NCBI's taxonomy places the organism in Eukaryota, Metazoa, Arthropoda, Insecta, Diptera, Drosophilidae. The transcript is spliced from 2 exons.
GAAAUUAAUGCUCCGAGCAAAACUUGUGUGACAUAGAAUCCACAUUUUCGCUCUAUAAUACUCGCCAUGAGAGGGCCAAAUCAAUCGUUCAAGGCUGGAACGGCAAAUCAGAUUUUGGCCAACAAGCUAACCGAAUUUCUGCAGGUCAUUUGCGAUGAUGUUCAAUUGAUGCAUGUUUUGUUUAGAUGGUUUCUGUUUGAAUUCCAAAAGCUUAUAGCCCUGAAGUAUUGAACCUACAUCUCUUAAUAGAGCUCAUACACAUCUGCGAUGUGUUUGCGUUGUUCAACAAAUAAAUUGUUUUGCAUUACCAUU